Molecule: long non-coding RNA, 344 nt
Filed under: Elaeis guineensis (African oil palm)
Lineage: Eukaryota; Viridiplantae; Streptophyta; Magnoliopsida; Arecales; Arecaceae
Description: long non-coding RNA (EGUI_LNC062237)
Source: RNAcentral
CACGCUCGCGUGCGCGCCAACUCCUUUCCAACAUUUCUCCAUGCCAUAAAAAUUCCAACAAAAUUCCAUCUAAUGCAUUGAGUUGUGUGCCAAAGGGUGGAGGGUGAUGUGGGCUGCCACAUAGGUCUUAAUCCCAAAGCAGAAGGACUCUCUUCCUUUUUCAAGCACAAAUACAUGUGCCCUCCUCUUCUAGCAUGCCAGGAGUCCAUCCUAGUAUGGAUUUUUGGUUUUGGUACCCCAGAGGCCAUAUGGUGCCAUCUAAUGUCUGCCAUACCCAGGUCCAAACCUAAAUUAGGCCUUAGCUCAAUUUGAUUUUAUCAAGAAGCAAGAUUCAAACUGAAAUC